RNAcentral lists this long non-coding RNA (446 nucleotides) under Monodelphis domestica (gray short-tailed opossum). Its description in RNAcentral is "lncRNA (ENSMODG00000042331.1)". The record is from RNAcentral. Lineage: Eukaryota; Metazoa; Chordata; Mammalia; Didelphimorphia; Didelphidae.
AUCUCCUUACUCCUAAGAGUUAUGUUUCUCUUAAGUUAGUCCAAGGUCAUUAAUUUUUGAGAUUUUUCAUAUCAUAUGGCUGAAGAACACUAAACUUUUAGUCUACUAACUUUGAUAACAAAGUGUCAAACCCUAGAACUGAAGUUGUAGUCUGGUGGGAAAUUAAUGGAGUCUUAGCCACAGUGGGGGAGCAACCCCAGGCAAUGUUCUGGAAUCUUGGGAGAGCAAGAGUUUCUGUCAGAGAGAGACAGUUAGCUCUCUCAAUUCUGAAACAGCCUAAGAAGAGGUCUGGUCAAGACUUGCUCCUGAGGAAAGACGUACAUCUUCUACUGGCUCCUUCCUGUUCAUCACUGAAAAGUCGGAAUACGUUCAGUACUGGAAGUGGAGGUAUAAUACAAUGCAUUGUUAUCCAUUUUGGAAGCUAUAAUUAUGUUAGUGAUGGCUAG